UUCUGGUUCAAGAUGUGGUGGAUGACACAAAGGAUGGGCUCCUAGGGCCGUGACGUCCCCUUGGAGACGCAGUUCCUCAUCGUCAAAGGGUCGUGGCUCACUGGCGAGCAUCCCGUCGUGUACACCAUCUUCCUCCCCAUACUGGAGGGCUCAUUCUGUGAUAUUCUUCAGUGAAACAUCGGCGAUGAGCUGGAGAUCUGCUAGGCCUAAAGUUUCUUCUCUUGAAGUACAUGGUAUAUUUGGGAGAGAUGAUGUUAUCAAGUCACUUAGAGGCCUCUAUGAAGUCUCAAAAAAUCUGAAGGAAAUUAGGUUCAAGGGUGGAGCUCUUUCUCUUGACAUGUGUUUUACAAGCCUUCAGUUGUGUAAAGAUGCUGCUGAAUCUGAAGAAGCGAAAAUGGCACUUUCUGCUGCAGCUAAGAAAUUUAAGGUUCCUUCUCUGAAAAUCUUAGGGAGAUUGCUGGACACUGUAAUGAAAGAAAGUGGGCUGGUCGCCGUGCAGAAGAUGCUGGAGAGAAGCUCUACAUGUGGGCUCUGAUAAAGAACAAAGAGAGACACUUUCUACACGAAGCAAGCUUUCUAUUGGUGUUGUGUGUCCAUACACUGCUCAAGUUAGAGCAAUACAGGAAAAGGUUGGGAAGGCCUGCAGGAGGAAUGAUUAUUUCUCAGUGAAAGUAAAAUCUGUGGAUGGUUUCCAAGGCGCGGAGGAAGAUAUAAUUAUCAUAUCAAUAGUCAGGAGUAAUGGAGCUGGUACAGUUGGGUUUCUAUCAAACUUACAGAGGACUAACGUGGCUCUAACAAGGGCCAAGCAUUGCUUAUGGAUUGUGGGGAAUGGAACCACUCUGUUCAACAGCAAUUCCGUUUGGCAAAAGAUUGUCAAGGACACAAGGGAUAGAGGUUGUUUUUUAAUGCCACUGAUGAGAAGGAGUUGCUGAAUGCAAUUUUCAAGCCUGCUGUUGAGUAUCCUCACGCGGACAAUUUAGCUGGCGAGGAGACAAGGCAACGAUUGAGUACCAGGAUGAGUUGAGAUGGGGAAAUUGUCUAUUCAAUGUCGCUGAGGCAAUAGUUACAAGAUCCUAGAAGAUAACUCGUGGCAGCUCUACUCUACAAUAAGGGUGAUAAAGAUGUCUCGCCCAAUGGAAGAUAUCAUAUUUAGACAUGAUCAAGGUAGCAAGAUGUUGACCCCAUGGGUCCUUUUGGUGGAAUAAUGAUAGAGUGCGGCACCAAUCAACCUAUUGAGAAAGUGCUUGCAGUUGAAGAUGCAGGUCUAAUGCUUGGAUUUUUUAACAUAGAUGCUGCAUAGCUUUAGCCUUAUUGAUGCUUGAGUUGCUACCACUGAAGAUCUUUUGAACUACAGUUUUCACAAGCACACAUUAUAUUUUUCCUUCAUAACGACUGAUGUAAGAAGGGCAGGCUUGGUGCAGUGGUGAGAGUUGUCUCACUGAGUCACCAGGCCAUGGGUUCGAAACAGCCUUAUGGGGGGUCUGCCCUUUGUUAUUCAUAACGACUAAUGUAGUUAUGUGUGUUGUC
Zea mays is the source of this 1527-nucleotide long non-coding RNA. RefSeq lists it as uncharacterized. Lineage: Eukaryota; Viridiplantae; Streptophyta; Magnoliopsida; Poales; Poaceae. The record is from RefSeq and is a predicted model, not a curated record. The transcript is spliced from 5 exons.